This 234-nucleotide ribosomal RNA is filed under the name Agrobacterium tumefaciens. Its description in RNAcentral is "partial 16S rRNA". Lineage: Bacteria; Pseudomonadati; Pseudomonadota; Alphaproteobacteria; Hyphomicrobiales; Rhizobiaceae. The record is from RNAcentral.
UACCUUGUUACGACUUCACCCCAGUCGCUGACCCUACCGUGGUUAGCUGCCUCCUUGCGGUUAGCGCACUACCUUCGGGUAAAACCAACUCCCAUGGUGUGACGGGCGGUGUGUACAAGGCCCGGGAACGUAUUCACCGCAGCAUGCUGAUCUGCGAUUACUAGCGAUUCCAACUUCAUGCACUCGAGUUGCAGAGUGCAAUCCGAACUGAGAUGGCUUUUGGAGAUUAGCUCG